RNAcentral lists this ribosomal RNA (253 nucleotides) under uncultured bacterium. Its description in RNAcentral is "partial 16S ribosomal RNA". It matches the Rfam family "Bacterial small subunit ribosomal RNA", at positions 524 to 776 of the family's 1533-position model. The record is from RNAcentral.
UACGUAGGGUGCAAGCGUUGUCCGGAAUUAUUGGGCGUAAAGCGCACGUAGGCGGCUUUGCAAGUCCCAUGUGAAAGCCCACGGCUUAACCGUGGAAGUGCAUGGGAAACUGCAGAGCUUGAGUACUUAAGAGGAUCGCGGAAUUCCCGGUGUAGAGGUGAAAUUCGUAGAUAUCGGGAGGAACACCAGUGGCGAAGGCGGCGAUCUGGGAAGAUACUGACGCUGAGGUGCGAAAGCGUGGGGAGCAAACAGG